Long non-coding RNA from Panicum virgatum (switchgrass), 1024 nucleotides. RefSeq lists it as uncharacterized. NCBI's taxonomy places the organism in Eukaryota, Viridiplantae, Streptophyta, Magnoliopsida, Poales, Poaceae. The record is from RefSeq and is a predicted model, not a curated record. The transcript has 4 exons.
AUGGGUCCCACCAGUCAUUCCUCCUCCUCCCCCGCGAACCCCCCGCGUCUUCAUUUCCGGAGGUCGGGAGGCGAACAGGCAACCGCUAGGGUUUCGUUCCCUGGGGACGCGCCGCCCUCCGACCUCCGCCUCUCCUCAUCCUCCUCCGCUCCGGGAUAAGAGACUCCCCUCCCUGCUCCUGGCCCCUCACGCCCUAAUCGCGCGCCGGCCCCGGCUCGCCGUCGCCCCCAUCCGGAUCUCCGCCCCGCUGCCGAGGUAAGCAGCAUAAGAGCAGCAUGCCCUGGUCACCAGAUAUUGACAACUUUUAGUGAACCUUGGUCACCAGAUUGACAAUAGCUACUUGGGUUGAUCUCCUUGCAAGAUAAUUAGUGCUUGGUACUGCUUAGUACUGGUUAAAUUACCAGUUUAACAAGUCUAGAUGCCUAUUGUAGUGAACUGCAAUCUUUUUUUCAGGUUAAGGGAUAGUGAAUUGCAAUUAAGUUGCUCUGGGUGCUUGGUACUGGAUUCAAUUUGCUGUUUUGUUCUAAGUUUUCCCUUUCCUGUGAGGAUUGUACCUAAAAUGGUUUCUUCCAAGAAGACGUUUGCUCGGAGAAAGUCGGUAACAAAAGUUCGAUGCCUUAUCUCCACGCUAUCAUAUCUCUGGAUUUUGUAUUUCCUCUUUGGUUCUGUUUAGUGAACUGAAUGCUUGAAUUUAUAUUUGAACUUUGUGGUCUUGUAGGUUAGGUUAUUUCAUGCCUUUGCAGUUGCAGCUAACUAAUCAUCUACAAAAUGAUUAUUCUUUUGGCUACCAGUUCAAUAAUUAUUGAAGCUCAUUUGAAGUUCAUGAUGUUCAUCAAUAGUCAUUUAAGCAGAAGUCCCUGGCUGGAAAUAAGGAUGCAGAUUAGAUAAUUAUGGUGACUUUAGAGAUAGUUGUCGAUUGAUAUGAAUGACUUCAAAAGAUUGUGUAUGUGUAUGUGUAUCUGUAAUGUAUAUAUGGAUAGAUCCUAUAUAUUUGUGAUGUAAAUAAGACCUAUUUCAUGUCCUA